GGCCGGUUGGCUCAGACGGUAGAGCGCUGGACUAUUAAUCCUGAGGUCGAAAGUUCAAGUCCCUCAACGGUCG
RNAcentral lists this transfer RNA (73 nucleotides) under Daphnia pulex (common water flea). It matches the Rfam family "tRNA". From Rfam's summary of the family: Transfer RNA (tRNA) molecules are approximately 80 nucleotides in length. Their secondary structure includes four short double-helical elements and three loops (D, anti-codon, and T loops). The record is from Rfam by way of RNAcentral. Lineage: Eukaryota; Metazoa; Arthropoda; Branchiopoda; Diplostraca; Daphniidae.